GACGAACGCUGGCGGUGUGCUUAACACAUGCAAGUCGAACGGAAAGGCCCUGCUUUUGUGGGGUGCUCGAGUGGCGAACGGGUGAGUAACACGUGCGUAACCUGCCCUUGACUUUGGGAUAACUUCAGGAAACUGGGGCUAAUACCGGAUAGGAGCGCCUGCUGCAUGGUGGGGGUUGGAAAGUUUCGGCGGUGGGGGAUGGACUCGCGGGUUAUCAGCUUGUUGGUGGGGUAGUGGCUUACCAAGGCUUUGACGGGUAGCCGGCCUGAGAGGGUGACCGGCCACAGUGGGACUGAGAUACGGCCGAGACUCCUACGGGAGGCAGCAGUGGGGAAUAUUGCAUAAUGGGCGGAAGCCUUAUGCAGCAACGCCGCGUGCUGGAUGACGGCCUUCGGGUUGUAAACCGCUUUCGCCUGUGACGAAGCGUGAGUGACGGUAAUGGGUAAAGAAGCACCGGCUAACUACGUG
RNAcentral lists this ribosomal RNA (468 nucleotides) under uncultured bacterium. Its description in RNAcentral is "partial 16S ribosomal RNA". It matches the Rfam family "Bacterial small subunit ribosomal RNA", at positions 28 to 507 of the family's 1533-position model. The record is from RNAcentral.